This 253-nucleotide ribosomal RNA is filed under the name uncultured bacterium. RNAcentral's name for it is "partial 16S ribosomal RNA". It matches the Rfam family "Bacterial small subunit ribosomal RNA", at positions 524 to 776 of the family's 1533-position model. The record is from RNAcentral.
UACAGAGGGGGCAAGCGUUGUUCGGAAUUACUGGGCGUAAAGGGCGCGUAGGCGGCCUGCUAAGUCGAACGUGAAAUCCCUGGGCUCAACCCAGGAACUGCGUCCGAUACUGGUUGGCUUGAAUCCGGGAGAGGGAUGUGGAAUUCCAGGUGUAGCGGUGAAAUGCGUAGAUAUUGGGAAGAACACCGGUGGCGAAGGCGGCUCUCUGGACCGAUACUGACGCUGAGGCGCGAAAGCGUGGGGAGCAAACAGG